This 506-nucleotide ribosomal RNA is filed under the name uncultured bacterium. RNAcentral's name for it is "partial 16S ribosomal RNA". It matches the Rfam family "Bacterial small subunit ribosomal RNA", at positions 29 to 523 of the family's 1533-position model. The record is from RNAcentral.
AGUGAACGCUGGCGGUAGGCCUAACACAUGCAAGUCGAACGGCAGCACAGGAGAGCUUGCUCUCUGGGUGGCGAGUGGCGGACGGGUGGGGAAUACAUCGGAAUCUACUUUUUCGUGGGGGAUAACGUAGGGAAACUUACGCUAAUACCGCAUACGACCUACGGGUGAAAGCAGGGGACCUUCGGGCCUUGCGCGAUUGAAUGAGCCGAUGUCGGAUUAGCUAGUUGGCGGGGUAAAGGCCCACCAAGGCGACGAUCCGUAGCUGGUCUGAGAGGAGCAUCAGCCAAACUGAAACUGAAACACAGUCCAGACUCCUACGGGAGGCAGCAGUGGGGAAUAUUGGACAAUGGGCGCAAGCCUGAUUCAGCCAUACCGCGUGGGUGAAGAAGGCCUUCGGGUUGUAAAGCCCUUUUGUUGGGAAAGAAAUCCAGCUGGCUAAUACCCGGUUGGGAUGACGGUACCCAAAGAAUAAGCACCGGCUAACUUCGUGCCAGCAGCCGCCGUAA